This 468-nucleotide ribosomal RNA is filed under the name uncultured bacterium. RNAcentral describes it as "partial 16S ribosomal RNA". It matches the Rfam family "Bacterial small subunit ribosomal RNA", at positions 28 to 507 of the family's 1533-position model. The record is from RNAcentral.
GACGAACCCUGGCGGCGUGCUUAACACAUGCAAGUCGAACGGAAAGGCCCUGCUUUUGUGGGGUGCUCGAGUGGCGAACGGGUGAGUAACACGUGAGUAACCUGCCCUUGACUUUGGGAUAACUUCAGGAAACUGGGGCUAAUACCGGAUAGGAGCUCCUGCUGCAUGGUGGGGGUUGGAAAGUUUCGGCGGUUGGGGAUGGACUCGCGGCUUAUCAGCUUGUUGGUGGGGUAGUGGCUUACCAAGGCUUUGACGGGUAGCCGGCCUGAGAGGGUGACCGGUCACAUUGGGACUGAGAUACGGCCCAGACUCCUACGGGAGGCAGCAGUGGGGAAUAUUGCACAAUGGGCGGAAGCCUGAUGCAGCAACGCCGCGUGCGGGAUGACGGCCUUCGGGUUGUAAACCGCUUUCGCCUGUGACGAAGCGUGAGUGACGGUAAUGGGUAAAGAAGCACCGGCUAACUACGUG